GAAUCUUCGGCAAUGGACGAAAGUCUGACCGAGCAACGCCGCGUGAGUGAGGAAGGUCCUCGGGUCGUAAAGCUCUGUUGCCAGGGAAGAAUGGCCGGGAGAGGGAAUGCUCCCGGUAUGACGGUACCUGAGAAGAAAGCCCCGGCUAACUACGUGCCAGCAGCCGCGGUAAUACGUAGGGGGCAAGCGUUGUCCGGAAUUAUUGGGCGUAAAGCGCGCGCAGGCGGUUCUUUAAGUCUUGUGUUUAAGCCCGGGGCUCAACCCCGGUACGCAUGGGAAACUGGAGGACUGGAGUGCAGGAGAGGAAAGUGGAAUUCCACGUGUAGCGGUGAAAUGCGUAGAGAUGUGGAGGAACACCAGUGGCGAAGGCGACUUUCUGGCCUGUAACUGACGCUGAGGCGCGAAAGCGUGGGGAGCAAACAGG
This 424-nucleotide ribosomal RNA is filed under the name uncultured bacterium. RNAcentral describes it as "bacterial SSU rRNA". It matches the Rfam family "Bacterial small subunit ribosomal RNA", at positions 359 to 776 of the family's 1533-position model. The record is from RNAcentral.